AGACCAAUCCCCAGCAGUUCACUAUGGUAACUGAAACAACUGAAAAUAACUACCAAGUGGGCUUGCCUUUCAGGAUGCUAAAACUUUCUAGAGCUCCGUAGAGCUAGGGCCAAUAAUAUCAGCCUCCAACGUUGAUGAAAAUGCUUGCUGACACCCACCUGGCACAAGCACAUUCAUGCCUAGCCAGCUGGACUGUAUCAAGAGGACAAGCUGAAGCACCAGAAGGUGUGCCAGCAUGGAGAUUUGUUAUAAUUUCAGAAGGCAUUUCAAAACAACUUCCAGGAUGAUUGAUUGUACAUAUAGAACCUGAAACCUCCUAGACCACCUCAGCUUGUCACGUCAAGUCACCUUGUCCUUGCUGCUACUUGGAAGCACGCAAAGUUUAGUCACCGUGCGGAUGUUCAGAGUUUCAUGGUUGAAUGUUGGAACCAACUUUUAAAUUCAUUUGAUUUCACACUUGUUUUCAUCGUCUUUU
Molecule: small RNA, 475 nt
Filed under: Rattus norvegicus (Norway rat)
Lineage: Eukaryota; Metazoa; Chordata; Mammalia; Rodentia; Muridae
Description: uncharacterized LOC108352222
Source: RNAcentral